RNAcentral lists this ribosomal RNA (845 nucleotides) under uncultured bacterium. RNAcentral describes it as "bacterial SSU rRNA". It matches the Rfam family "Bacterial small subunit ribosomal RNA", at positions 21 to 883 of the family's 1533-position model. The record is from RNAcentral.
GGCUCAGGACGAACGCUGGCGGCGUGCUUAGCACAUGCAAGUCGAGCGGAAAGGCCCUUCGGGGUACUCGAGCGGCGAACGGGUGAGUAACACGUGAGCAACCUGCCCCCAGCUCUGGGAUAGCUCCCGGAAACGGGAAUUAAUACCGGAUACGACCCUGACUGACAUCGGUCAGGGUGGAAAGGAUUCCGGCUGAGGAUGGACUCGCGGCCUAUCAGCUAGUUGGUGGGGUAACGGCCCACCAAGGCGACGACGGGUAGCCGGCCUGAGAGGGCGACCGGCCACACUGGGACUGAGACACGGCCCAGACUCCUGCGGGAGGCAGCAGUGGGGAAUAUUGCGCAAUGGGCGAAAGCCUGACGCAGCGACGCCGCGUGGGGGAUGAAGGCCUUCGGGUUGUAAACCCCUUUCAGCAGGGACGAAGCGAGAGUGACGGUACCUGCAGAAGAAGCGCCGGCUAACUACGUGCCAGCAGCCGCGGUAACACGUAGGGCGCAAGCGUUGUCCGGAAUUAUUGGGCGUAAAGAGCUCGUAGGCGGUCUGUUGCGUCUGCUGUGAAAACCCGGGGCUUAACCCCUGGCUUGCAGUGGAUACGGACAGACUAGAGGUAGGUAGGGGAGAAUGGAAUUCCCGGUGUAGCGGUGAAAUGCGCAGAUAUCGGGAGGAACACCGGUGGCGAAGGCGGUUCUCUGGGCCUUACCUGACGCUGAGGAGCGAAAGCGUGGGGAGCGAACAGGAUUAGAUACCCUGGUAGUCCACGCUGUAAACGUUGGGCGCUAGGUGUGGGGUCCUUCCACGGAUUCCGUGCCGCAGCUAACGCAUUAAGCGCCCCGCCUGGGGAGUAC